ACCUGGUUGAUCCUGCCAGUAUUAUAUGCUGAUGUUAAAGAUUAAGCCAUGCAUGUGUAAGUUUAAAGACCAAGUAGGAUGAAACUGCGGACGGCUCAUUAUAACAGUAAUAGUUUCUUUGGUUAGUCGGUACAAGGAUAACUUUGUGAAUGAUAAAGCUAAUACUUGAGACGAUCCGGGGAGUAAUUUACUUUCCGGCCACUGGCUGCGAGGCUGGUGAGAAACGACAUUCCCUUGUGAAAAAGGAUGCCGCGACAAUUGAAGAAAGCGACGCUUUUAACAAGUAACCAAUGGGAAUUUCUGAUCUAUCAAUUUGUUGGUAGUAUCGAGGACUACCAAGAUUAUAACGGAUAACGAGGAAUUGGGGUUCGACAUCGGAGAGGGAGCUUUACAGAUGGCUACCACUUCUAAGGAAGGCAGCAGGCGCGUAAAUUACCCACUUUCGACUUGAAGAGGUAGUGACGACAAAUAACUCUUGUCGCCCUCCGGGGUGACUUGAAGGAAUGAUUUAGAAGUAAAUUCUCUAAAGAAAUCAAUUGGAGGGCAAGUCUGGUGCCAGCAGCCGCGGUAAUUCCAGCUCCAAUAGUGUAUAUUAAAGUUGCUGUGAUUAAAACGCUCGUAGUUGAAUUAUAAAGCGCUCAGCCAGUCUAGGCUAUGCUUUGCAUAGAAGAGGCCGGCUACUAACGGCGCGGAGGCGAUGCCGGUUUCGGCCGGUGUCAUUACUUUGAAAAAAAUAGGGUGUUCAAAGCAAAUCUUAUGUUAAUGAAUAAUGAAGCAUGGGACAAUAUUGAGGAGAUUCUUCGGGAUUUCGGGAAAAGGAUUAAGAGGAACAAUUGGGGUGAUUCAGAAAAUGACGGGAGAGGUAAAAUUCCAUGAUCGCCAUAAGAUGCACGAGAGCGAAAGCAUUUCACUCAAUUGCGUUCAUUAAUCAAGAACGAAAGUUAGGGGAUCGAAGACGAUUAGAUACCGUCGUAGUCCUAACUAUAAACGAUGUCAACCAAGGAUUGGAUUAGUUAUUGGGUGACAGAAGUCCGGUAACACUGUUAUUGGGCUGACGGAUCCCGCUUCCACCUUAUUCAGAACUUAAAGAGAAAUCUUGAGUUUAUGGACUUCAGGGGGAGUAUGGUCACAAGGCUGAAACUUAAAGGAAUUGACGGAAGGGCACACCAGGAGUGGAGCCUGCGGCUUAAUUUGACUCAACACGGGAAAACUUACCAAGACCGAACAGUAUUAGGAAUGACAGAUUAAGGGUUCUUUCAUGAUUUAUUGGGUAGUGGUGCAUGGCCGUUCUUAGUUGGUGGAGUGAUUUGUCAGGUUAAUUCCGGUAACGAACGAGACUGAAGCCUAUUAAUUAGUUUCCUGCCUAUAAGACAGGAAUGUCCGCAAGGAUGGAUGCAUUGCAUCACUUCUUAAAGGGACUAAUAUCAAUUGUUUCCAGGUUGAUUAGUGCGACCAUCUCGAUGGUACCUUAUCAAUCGGAAAAAAAGAUAAUGGAAGCAUUCAGCAAUAACAGGUCUGUGAUGCCCUUAGACAUCUUGGGCUGCACGCGCGCUACAAUGGAGAUACUAGCGAGUAUUUGUCGGGAUUGCUCGAUUUAUCGGCUCUGUCGGUGGAUUGAGAUUUAUCUUCGAUGUACCGAGACUGAAAUAGUUUAGGAAAACUCAAAAGAUCGUACAUGACAGGGAUAAAUGAUUGGAAUUAUUUGUUUUGAACGAGGAAUUCCUUGUAAUAUCGAGUCAUUAGCUCGAGAUGAAUACGUCCCUGCCCUUUGUACACACCGCCCGUCGCUCCUACCGAUUGGAUAUGGAGGUGAAAUUCUAGGACUCUGGCAUUAGUUGGGGAAAUGGAUUUAAAUCUCUUUAUCUAGAGGAAGGAUAAGUCGUAACAAGGUUUCCGUAGGUGAACCUGCAGAAGGAUC
This 1918-nucleotide ribosomal RNA is filed under the name Entamoeba bovis. Its description in RNAcentral is "partial small subunit ribosomal RNA". It matches the Rfam family "Eukaryotic small subunit ribosomal RNA". The record is from RNAcentral. Lineage: Eukaryota; Evosea; Mastigamoebida; Endamoebidae.